UACGGAGGGUGCAAGCGUUAUCCGGAUUCACUGGGUUUAAAGGGUGCGUAGGUGGGUUGGUAAGUCAGUGGUGAAAUCUCCGAGCUUAACUUGGAAACUGCCAUUGAUACUAUCAGUCUCGAAUACUGUGGAGGUCAGCAGAAUAUGUCAUGUAGCGGUGAAAUGCUUAGAUAUGACAUAGAAUACCAAUUGCGAAGGCAGCUGGCUACACAAAUAUUGACACUCAGGCACGAAAGCGUGGGGAUCAAACAGG
This 253-nucleotide ribosomal RNA is filed under the name uncultured bacterium. RNAcentral describes it as "partial 16S ribosomal RNA". It matches the Rfam family "Bacterial small subunit ribosomal RNA", at positions 524 to 776 of the family's 1533-position model. The record is from RNAcentral.